RNAcentral lists this unclassified non-coding RNA (310 nucleotides) under uncultured Teratosphaeriaceae. RNAcentral describes it as "sequence contains ITS1". The stretch from base 1 to 105 matches the Rfam family "5.8S ribosomal RNA", at positions 50 to 154 of the family's 154-position model. The record is from RNAcentral. Lineage: Eukaryota; Fungi; Ascomycota; Dothideomycetes; Mycosphaerellales; Teratosphaeriaceae.
GAAAUGCGAUAAGUAAUGUGAAUUGCAGAAUUCAGUGAAUCAUCGAAUCUUUGAACGCACAUUGCGCCCUUUGGCAUUCCGAAGGGCAUGCCUGUUCGAGCGUCAUUACACCAAUCAAGCCUGGCUUGGUAUUGGGCGACGGGGCGCCGUUUCCACACGCCCCCGCGCCCCAAAGACCCUCCCGGCGGGACGGACCGAAUCUCAGCGUUGUGCAAACCAAAGCCGCUGGCGAGACGGGACGGCCGUGCCGUGAAAACCUCUCCCUCGUAAUGUUGACCUCGGAUCAGGUAGGGAUACCCGCUGAACUUAA